This 470-nucleotide ribosomal RNA is filed under the name uncultured bacterium. Its description in RNAcentral is "bacterial SSU rRNA". It matches the Rfam family "Bacterial small subunit ribosomal RNA", at positions 28 to 507 of the family's 1533-position model. The record is from RNAcentral.
GACGAACGUUGGCGGCGCGCCUAAUGCAUGCAAGUCGAGGGAGAACCGCUCGAUCCGUAAGGAUCGGACGGGGAAACCGGCGAACGGGUGCGUAACACGUGAGGAACCUGCCCCGAAGACCGGGAUAGCCCGGGAAACCCGGAUUAAUACCGGAUGUCCUCGAGGGACCGCAUGGUCCGUCGAGGAAAUGGUCCGCCGCUUUGGGAUGGCCUCGCGGCCUAUCAGCUUGUUGGUGAGGUAACGGCUCACCAAGGCCGAGACGGGUAGCUGGUCUGAGAGGACGAUCAGCCACACUGGGACUGAGACACGGCCCAGACUCCUACGGGAGGCAGCAGCAGGGAAUAUUGCACAAUGGGCGAAAGCCUGAUGCAGCGACGCCGCGUGCGGGAUGAAGGCCUUCGGGUUGUAAACCGCUUUCAGGAGGGACGAAAAUGACGGUACCUCCAGAAGAAGCCCCGGCCAACUACGUG